This 253-nucleotide ribosomal RNA is filed under the name uncultured bacterium. Its description in RNAcentral is "partial 16S ribosomal RNA". It matches the Rfam family "Bacterial small subunit ribosomal RNA", at positions 524 to 776 of the family's 1533-position model. The record is from RNAcentral.
UACGGAGGGUGCGAGCGUUGUUCGGAAUUACUGGGCGUAAAGCGCGUGUAGGCGGCUUCUUAAGUUCGGUGUGAAAGCCCGGGGCUCACCCCCGGAAGGGCACUGGAUACUGAGAAGCUUGAGUACCGGAGAGGAGGGUGGAAUUCCUGGUGUAGCGGUGAAAUGCGUAGAUAUCAGGAGGAACACCGGUGGCGAAGGCGGCCCUCUGGACGGCUACUGACGCUGAGACGCGAAAGCGUGGGGAGCAAACAGG